GGGGUUGUGGCUCAGUGGAAGUUCUUCUGCCCUGCAUUCAGAAAGACCCAGGUUCAAUUCCUAGCAUCUCCA
RNAcentral lists this transfer RNA (72 nucleotides) under Sphaerodactylus townsendi. RNAcentral's name for it is "tRNA-Ala". It matches the Rfam family "tRNA". Rfam says of the family: Transfer RNA (tRNA) molecules are approximately 80 nucleotides in length. Their secondary structure includes four short double-helical elements and three loops (D, anti-codon, and T loops). The record is from RNAcentral. Lineage: Eukaryota; Metazoa; Chordata; Lepidosauria; Squamata; Sphaerodactylidae.